This 1432-nucleotide ribosomal RNA is filed under the name uncultured organism. Its description in RNAcentral is "16S ribosomal RNA". It matches the Rfam family "Bacterial small subunit ribosomal RNA". The record is from RNAcentral.
CAGGCUUAACACAUGCAAGUCGAGGGGCAGCAUGGUCUUAGCUUGCUAAGGCCGAUGGCGACCGGCGCACGGGUGAGUAACACGUAUCCAACCUGCCGUCUACUCUUGGACAGCCUUCUGAAAGGAAGAUUAAUACAAGAUGGCAUCAUGAGUCCGCAUGUUCACAUGAUUAAAGGUAUUCCGGUAGACGAUGGGGAUGCGUUCCAUUAGAUAGUAGGCGGGGUAACGGCCCACCUAGUCUUCGAUGGAUAGGGGUUCUGAGAGGAAGGUCCCCCACAUUGGAACUGAGACACGGUCCAAACUCCUACGGGAGGCAGCAGUGAGGAAUAUUGGUCAAUGGGCGAGAGCCUGAACCAGCCAAGUAGCGUGAAGGAUGACUGCCCUAUGGGUUGUAAACUUCUUUUAUAAAGGAAUAAAGUCGGGUAUGGAUACCCGUUUGCAUGUACUUUAUGAAUAAGGAUCGGCUAACUCCGUGCCAGCAGCCGCGGUAAUACGGAGGAUCCGAGCGUUAUCCGGAUUUAUUGGGUUUAAAGGGAGCGUAGAUGGAUGUUUAAGUCAGUUGUGAAAGUUUGCGGCUCAACCGUAAAAUUGCAGUUGAUACUGGAUAUCUUGAGUGCAGUUGAGGCAGGCGGAAUUCGUGGUGUAGCGGUGAAAUGCUUAGAUAUCACGAAGAACUCCGAUUGCGAAGGCAGCCUGCUAAGCUGCAACUGACAUUGAGGCUCGAAAGUGUGGGUAUCAAACAGGAUUAGAUACCCUGGUAGUCCACACGGUAAACGAUGAAUACUCGCUGUUUGCGAUAUACUGCAAGCGGCCAAGCGAAAGCGUUAAGUAUUCCACCUGGGGAGUACGCCGGCAACGGUGAAACUCAAAGGAAUUGACGGGGGCCCGCACAAGCGGAGGAACAUGUGGUUUAAUUCGAUGAUACGCGAGGAACCUUACCCGGGCUUAAAUUGCAGAUGAAUUACGGUGAAAGCCGUAAGCCGCAAGGCAUCUGUGAAGGUGCUGCAUGGUUGUCGUCAGCUCGUGCCGUGAGGUGUCGGCUUAAGUGCCAUAACGAGCGCAACCCUUGUUGUCAGUUACUAACAGGUUCCGCUGAGGACUCUGACAAGACUGCCAUCGUAAGAUGUGAGGAAGGUGGGGAUGACGUCAAAUCAGCACGGCCCUUACGUCCGGGGCUACACACGUGUUACAAUGGGGGGUACAGAGGGCCGCUACCACGCGAGUGGAUGCCAAUCCCCAAAACCUCUCUCAGUUCGGACUGGAGUCUGCAACCCGACUCCACGAAGCUGGAUUCGCUAGUAAUCGCGCAUCAGCCACGGCGCGGCGAAUACGUUCCCGGGCCUUGUACACACCGCCCGUCAAGCCGUGGGAGCCGGGGGUACCUGAAGUGCGUAACCGCGAGGAGCGCCCUAGGGUAAAACUGGUGACUGGG